GGCGAGGGAUCUCGGGUCAACUUCUUUACGACCGGAAUCACGUCGGACGAAACCUGCCGAGCCAGACGAACGGCCUGCACUCGAAUGUUGGCGUCCUUGUCAUUCGUUGCUAGUUCGACAUAGUGCGCUUCGCGGCCAGGGAUCUUGGCAAGCAACCACAAUGCCCGUGCGCGAUGCCGCGGAUUGGUUGACUCGGUAAAGAGUUUGAGCAGCGCCGGCUCGGCCUGCGAGCCCAUCUUGUGCAGCUCGGUCCAGGCGAUGUACCGCGUCGCCAGGUUCGGAUUCAGUAAUGCCGCGACGCAACCCGCCGCUGUCGAAAAGUCUGGCUUGGCGACCUGAUACCGAUCGCCUUGGUCUGGAGGGGUCACACGGAAAAGGCGGCCGUGUUUCGUGUCCUCCAUGCGGUGACCGCCAACACCUGGGUCGUACCAAUCGGCGACGAUUAGCGAGCCGUCCGGAGCGACGCCCACAUCCGAGGGCCGGAACCAGCGGUUGGCAGCCCCAUCGAGAAUGUUAACCGUCUCGGCCUUAUAUCCCGCACCGUCGAGCGUCACAGGAUAACAGCGCACGAUACUCGGUCCGGCAUCGCAGUGAAUCACCUGUCCUUGAAAGACCUGCGACAGGAGCGAGCCUUCAUAAACGCAGAUUCCGGUCGGCGAACCUGCGCCGGUCUGUAGCAGAUUCGGAACGACGCCGGGAUCAUUCAGGUGCCAAUGCCGCAGUGGAAUCUCCUGUUCGAGAUUCGUGCGUUCCGCCUGCCAGCCGGCGCCGGUCAUUUCGUCCUUAUACC
This 790-nucleotide unclassified non-coding RNA is filed under the name uncultured fungus. RNAcentral's name for it is "sequence contains 18S rRNA gene, ITS1, 5.8S rRNA gene, ITS2, 28S rRNA gene". The record is from RNAcentral. Lineage: Eukaryota; Fungi.